Molecule: ribosomal RNA, 408 nt
Filed under: uncultured bacterium
Lineage: Bacteria
Description: bacterial SSU rRNA
Rfam family: Bacterial small subunit ribosomal RNA
Source: RNAcentral
UCGAGAAUCUUCCGCAAUGGACGAAAGUCUGACGGAGCGACGCCGCGUGAUGGAUGAAGUCCCUAGGGACGUAAACAUCUUUUAUGAGGGAGAAAGUUUAUUGAUAGUACCUCAUGAAUAAGGGGUUGCUAAACUCGUGCCAGCAGCAGCGGUAAUACGAGUGCCCCGAGCGUUAUCCGGAAUCAUUGGGCGUAAAGGGUGUGUAGGUGGUUGUGUUAGUCGAUUGUUAAAACCCGGGGCUCAACUCCGGAACCGCGAUCGAAACGGCACAACUAGAGGAUGGCAGGGAUGUAUGGAACUCAUGGAGUAGGGGUGAAAUCCGUUGAUAUCAUGGGGAACACCAAAAGCGAAGGCAGUACAUUGGGCCACUCCUGACACUGAAACACGAAAGCGUGGGUAGCGAAUGGG